AUUGAACGCUGGCGGCAUGCCUUACACAUGCAAGUCGAACGGUAACAGGUCUUCGGAUGCUGACGAGUGGCGAACGGGUGAGUAAUACAUCGGAACGUGCCUAGUAGUGGGGGAUAACUACUCGAAAGAGUGGCUAAUACCGCAUGAGAUCUACGGAUGAAAGCAGGGGAUCGCAAGACCUUGUGCUACUAGAGCGGCAGAUGGCAGAUUAGGUAGUUGGUGGGAUAAAAGCUUACCAAGCCGACGAUCUGUAGCUGGUCUGAGAGGACGAUCAGCCACACUGGGACUGAGACACGGCCCAGACUCCUACGGGAGGCAGCAGUGGGGAAUUUUGGACAAUGGGCGAAAGCCUGAUCCAGCAAUGCCGCGUGCAGGAUGAAGGCCUUGGGGUUGUAAACUGCUUUUGUACGGAACGAAAAGCCCCGGGUUAAUACCCUGGGGUCAUGACGGUACCGUAAGAAUAAGCACCGGCUAACUACGUGCCAGCCGCCGCAGUAA
This 498-nucleotide ribosomal RNA is filed under the name uncultured bacterium. RNAcentral's name for it is "partial 16S ribosomal RNA". It matches the Rfam family "Bacterial small subunit ribosomal RNA", at positions 30 to 523 of the family's 1533-position model. The record is from RNAcentral.